ACGAUGAAGAGUUUGAUCCUGGCUCAGGAUGAACGCUAGCGGCAGGCCUAACACAUGCAAGUCGAGGGGUAACAGGAAGUGCUUGCACUUUGCUGACGACCGGCGCACGGGUGCGUAACGCGUAUGCAAUCUACCUCUUACUGAGGGAUAGCCCAUGGAAACGUGGAUUAACACCUCAUGGUAUUUUAAAUUGGCAUCAAUUUAAGAUUAAAGGUUACGGUAAGAGAUGAGCAUGCGUCCUAUUAGCUAGAUGGUAAGGUAACGGCUUACCAUGGCAACGAUAGGUAGGGGUCCUGAGAGGGAGAUCCCCCACACUGGUACUGAGACACGGACCAGACUCCUACGGGAGGCAGCAGUGAGGAAUAUUGGACAAUGGGCGAGAGCCUGAUCCAGCCAUGCCGCGUGCAGGAAGACUGCCCUAUGGGUUGUAAACUGCUUUUGUAUAGGAAGAAACCUUUCCUCGUGAGGAAAAUUGACGGUACUAUACGAAUAAGGAUCGGCUAACUCCGUGCCAGCAGCCGCGGUAAUACGGAGGAUCCAAGCGUUAUCCGGAAUCAUUGGGUUUAAAGGGUCCGUAGGCGGGUUUAUAAGUCAGUGGUGAAAGUCUGCAGCUUAACUGUAGAACUGCCAUUGAUACUGUAGAUCUUGAAUCAUUAUGAAGUGGUUAGAAUGUGUAGUGUAGCGGUGAAAUGCAUAGAUAUUACACAGAAUACCGAUUGCGAAGGCAGAUCACUAAUAAUGUAUUGACGCUGAUGGACGAAAGCGUAGGUAGCGAACAGGAUUAGAUACCCUGGUAGUCUACGCCGUAAACGAUGGUUACUAGCUGUCCGGCCUAAUUGAGGGCUGGGUGGUUAAGCGAAAGUGAUAAGUAACCCACCUGGGGAGUACGUUCGCAAGAAUGAAACUCAAAGGAAUUGACGGGGGCCCGCACAAG
RNAcentral lists this non-coding RNA (934 nucleotides) under Zunongwangia atlantica 22II14-10F7. RNAcentral describes it as "Bacterial small subunit ribosomal RNA". It matches the Rfam family "Bacterial small subunit ribosomal RNA", at positions 1 to 929 of the family's 1533-position model. The record is from Rfam by way of RNAcentral. Lineage: Bacteria; Pseudomonadati; Bacteroidota; Flavobacteriia; Flavobacteriales; Flavobacteriaceae.